RNAcentral lists this ribosomal RNA (324 nucleotides) under uncultured eukaryote. Its description in RNAcentral is "partial 18S ribosomal RNA". It matches the Rfam family "Eukaryotic small subunit ribosomal RNA", at positions 1470 to 1796 of the family's 1831-position model. The record is from RNAcentral.
CCCUUAGAUGUUCUGGGCUGCACGCGCGCUACACUGAAGCUAUCAACACGUUUUCCCUCCCUGAGAAGGGCGGGUAACCUUUUGAAUCAGCUUCGUGGUAGGGAUCGGGGCUUGCAAUUGUUCCCCGUGAACCAGGAAUUCCUAGUAGACGCGAGUCAUAAGCUCGCAUCGAUUAAGUCCCUGCCCUUUGUACACACCGCCCGUCGCUACUACCGAUUGAACGUUUUAGUGAGGCAUUUGGACCGACGCAUCUCAGUUUAACCGCUGGUUUGUGUUGGAAAGACUUCCAAACUUGAGCGUUUAGAGAAAGUAAAAGUCGUAACA